Molecule: long non-coding RNA, 223 nt
Filed under: Mytilus galloprovincialis (Mediterranean mussel)
Lineage: Eukaryota; Metazoa; Mollusca; Bivalvia; Mytilida; Mytilidae
Source: RNAcentral
UAUAUUAUUUCAUUUUAUUUUUGAAUUUUCUUGUCAUAAUCACAGUAAUUAAAUUUCACAAACACAUACAUGUAUAUUUUACCUGAGACACAUGACCUGUAAGUUAUAUAAUUUUAACACUUCAAUGCAGUCAAGAUUUCCCUUUAUCCUUGGCUAGUUUUUGAUUAAUACCUUGUGUAUUAAUUAAGCGACAGGGGGUAUAAUGAUGGACAUAUAGGGCCAC